This 319-nucleotide ribosomal RNA is filed under the name uncultured Enterobacteriaceae bacterium. RNAcentral's name for it is "bacterial SSU rRNA". It matches the Rfam family "Bacterial small subunit ribosomal RNA", at positions 355 to 655 of the family's 1533-position model. The record is from RNAcentral. Lineage: Bacteria; Pseudomonadati; Pseudomonadota; Gammaproteobacteria; Enterobacterales; Enterobacteriaceae.
UGGGAAGUAUUGCAUCAAUGGCGCAAGCCAUGACUGCAGCCAUGCCGCGCUGUAUGAAGAAGGCCAAUUCGGGGCUUUGGUUAAAGAUACUUUCAGCGAGGAGGAAGGCGUUGUGGUUAAUAACCACAGCGAUUGACGUUACUCGCAGAAGAAGCACCGGCUAACUCCGUGCCAGCAGCCGCGGUAAUACGGAGGGUGCAAGCGUUAAUCGGAAUUACUGGGCGUAAAGCGCACGCAGGCGGUCUGUCAAGUCGGAUGUGAAAUCCCCGGGCUCAACCUGGGAACUGCAUCCGAAACUGGCAGGCUAGAGUCUUGUAGA